GGGUAACACCGGCUACGGAUGGCCAUGCGGCGCAUUAGCUAGUUGGCGGGGUAACGGCCCACCAAGGCGACGAUGCGUAGGGGUUCUGAGAGGAAGGUCCCCCACACUGGUACUGAGACACGGACCAGACUCCUACGGGAGGCAGCAGUGAGGAAUAUUGGUCAAUGGGCGCGAGCCUGAACCAGCCAAGUCGCGUGAGGGAAGACGGUCCUAUGGAUUGUAAACCUCUUUUGUCGGGGAGCAAAAGGCGCCACGUGUGGCGUUCCGAGAGUACCCGAAGAAAAAGCAUCGGCUAACUCCGUGCCAGCAGCCGCGGUAAUACGGAGGAUGCGAGCGUUAUCCGGAUUUAUUGGGUUUAAAGGGUGCGCAGGCGGAAGAUCAAGUCAGCGGUAAAAUUGAGAGGCUCAACCUCUUCGAGCCGUUGAAACUGGUUUUCUUGAGUGAGCGAGAAGUAUGCGGAAUGCGUGGUGUAGCGGUGAAAUGCAUAGAUAUCACGCAGAACUCCGAUUGCGAAGGCAGCAUACCGGCGCUCAACUGACGCUCAUGCACGAAAGUGUGGGUAUCGAACAGGAUUAGAUACCCUGGUAGUCCACACAGUAAACGAUGAAUACUAAUUGUUCGGGGAGAAUGAUCCCUGA
This 638-nucleotide ribosomal RNA is filed under the name uncultured bacterium. Its description in RNAcentral is "bacterial SSU rRNA". It matches the Rfam family "Bacterial small subunit ribosomal RNA", at positions 202 to 842 of the family's 1533-position model. The record is from RNAcentral.